This is a non-coding RNA of Pelobates cultripes (western spadefoot toad), 495 nucleotides long. NCBI's taxonomy places the organism in Eukaryota, Metazoa, Chordata, Amphibia, Anura, Pelobatidae. The record is from the annotation of a GenBank genome assembly.
ACCAUCUGAUCCAACGUGCUAAGGUAGUGGAAGAGACCGGUUUAUGUGGACGUGAAUAAGAUACCAACAGUUGAGGAGUAGUAACCGCCACAUAGCGGGAUAGUGCAGCCACCAUGCAGAGUUUAGGAGCCUUUUGGAAAUAUGGGUAGCAUAGCAGAAAAUAGCAGUUGAGUUGGACUUGGUAUGUAUAGACACCGAAAAAGUCACCCCUUCCGGGGAAAAAUUGAACGCAUCGAUGUCAAAUGCCCGGACGUCGGAGACCCAACUAGACGAGGCACAAGAGUAGUGCAAACUUGGCCUGUAACUGUCGUAGUGAGAGGUCUCGAUUUUCUGGCCAGUCCUGGAUGAAGUCCAAAACCCUCUGCACAUCCCAGAGGGAAGUCUACAAACCAUCCAUUAUGGAUCCUAGCCAAUGGGAGUCCCUUGAAUGGGGACAUGAGCCGCUGAAAUGGCAGACAAUAACAAAUCUUUGUAAAAUAAUACAAUGUGAGCAAG